CAAUAGCGUAUAUUAAAGUUGUUGCAGUUAAAAAGCUCGUAGUUGAAUUUCUGGUGGGCGCGCCGGUCUUCCAAGUGUUGUACUGGGCGCAGUCCGCCAUCCUUGUGGAGAGGGCUCGCAUUGAGUUGCGUGUCGGAUCUGCAUCAUUUACUGUGAAAAAAUUAGAGUGUUUAAAGCAGGCUGUCGCUUGAAUACAUUAGCAUGGAAUAAUAAGAUAGGACUUGGGUCUAUUUUGUUGGUUGCGAACCGAGGUAAUGAUUAAUAGGGAUAGUUGGGGGUAUUCAUAUUUAAUUGUCAGAGGUGAAAUUCUUGGAUUUAUGAAAGAUGAACAACUGCGAAAGCAUUUACCAAGGAUGUUUNCAUUA
This 365-nucleotide ribosomal RNA is filed under the name uncultured eukaryote. Its description in RNAcentral is "partial 18S ribosomal RNA". It matches the Rfam family "Eukaryotic small subunit ribosomal RNA", at positions 592 to 975 of the family's 1831-position model. The record is from RNAcentral.